AUAUAACGACUCUCGGCAACGGAUAUCUCGGCUCUCGCAUCGAUGAAGAACGUAGCGAAAUGCGAUACUUGGUGUGAAUUGCAGAAUCCCGUGAACCAUCGAGUCUUUGAACGCAAGUUGCGCCCGAAGCCAUCAGGUUGAGGGCACGUCUGCCUGGGCGUCACGC
Molecule: ribosomal RNA, 166 nt
Filed under: Damrongia lacunosa
Lineage: Eukaryota; Viridiplantae; Streptophyta; Magnoliopsida; Lamiales; Gesneriaceae
Also listed under: 2 other names
Description: 5.8S ribosomal RNA
Rfam family: 5.8S ribosomal RNA
About the family: 5.8S ribosomal RNA (5.8S rRNA) is a component of the large subunit of the eukaryotic ribosome. It is transcribed by RNA polymerase I as part of the 45S precursor that also contains 18S and 28S rRNA.
Source: RNAcentral